Molecule: ribosomal RNA, 253 nt
Filed under: uncultured bacterium
Lineage: Bacteria
Description: partial 16S ribosomal RNA
Rfam family: Bacterial small subunit ribosomal RNA
Source: RNAcentral
UACGUAGGGUGCAAGCGUUGUCCGGAAUUAUUGGGCGUAAAGAGCUCGUAGGCGGUUUGUCGCGUCUGCUGUGAAAACUCGGGGCUUAACUCCGGGCCUGCAGUGGGUACGGGCAGACUAGAGUGCGGUAGGGGUGACUGGAAUUCCUGGUGUAGCGGUGAAAUGCGCAGAUAUCAGGAGGAACACCGGUGGCGAAGGCGGGUCUCUGGGCCGUAACUGACGCUGAGGAGCGAAAGCGUGGGGAGCGAACAGG